Molecule: long non-coding RNA, 3115 nt
Filed under: Setaria viridis
Lineage: Eukaryota; Viridiplantae; Streptophyta; Magnoliopsida; Poales; Poaceae
Description: long non-coding RNA (SVIR_LNC010275)
Source: RNAcentral
UCAGUAAAAGAAAAUAUGCAUUCUCGACGACCAAUAGUACCAUGAACAUCGAUAGUGCCUUUGUUACAAAACAUAGUUUGAAUUUCAUAUAGGGCUUCAGGAAUGGUGGUCUCAUUGGUGUCAGGAGUCACAGAAACUAUCGAUAGUGCAAUUCUUAUGUCGCCAGGAAGAAAAAUGAAAUGGUCUCCAUCUUGAGCUUCUCGUACUCCUUAUCCUUGGCAGCGUAAUCAUCCUAAUCCCAACGAAGAAUGCAUCAAGGAUAACAGUUCAACUGCUAGAAGCACGGAAUUUUUAAGCAGCGGCGUCAGGAUGACGCCUAUGCAACAUAGCAGAUCAAUCACUUUGAACACGGCUUUGUCGUACCUCGCCUUGGGCCCUCCUCCAAGCGCCUACAAUUCCAUGCCAAAAGUGCCAUCAUUUUCAAUCCCAUCAGAAGUGGAAACGAGAUCAGAGUGCACAGGUCUGGUUGUGCAAGGAAACAAAAAAAAAUAACAGCACAAUUCAGUCCGAACCUUGAUGAAGUCCUCGACGGUGCCGGCCUACAUCCCAAAGAAGAUGGCGACCCUCUGCCUGACAUCAUCGUGGUACAAUUCAUCCUUGUGACAUGCAGUGACGUCAUUCAUUUUAAAAUUCUAAGUAGUCCAGGGCAAUUUAUAACUAUUUUGAUUAAAGGAACUCCCAAAUCUUUGGCCUCAUCACUGCCUUUCUUUUUUGAACAAGCUAUUGCUAAACAUAUUAAAAGCAUGAUCACAGAGGUAGGAGCAUUGCAAAUAAAAUUGAUGACCGCAUUAAGUACAUCAAGAUAUUGUAUUUUCUGAACUAAUUUCAGCAAAACUGAUAAAGAAGACUGAAAUAUGGCUAACCUGAUCAAGAACAGAUUGGGAGCCCCACGGUCCACUGCUACUCCGCCUCGCAAUCCCCCGUCUGCACCAGCCACCUGCACCAAUGAAAGGUAAGGUGUAGGUUCACACGAUCUUUCCCACAAUUUCUAUGACCAUGGCAGAACAUGAUGAAUAUCUACUGCGGCAACAUAUUCUUAGACAGAGUUACUACCUCACUGAAGGAAAAAAAAUCAUGCACUAAAUUUCAGUAAAUGGGACUGGGAGCAAAAAGAAACAUUAAUGUAUUAAGUAUAUAUGUCAUGCUUUCCUUUUUUUGCAAAUUAACAUAACAAGGUACCAGUAUUCAACAUUAAUGUAUUAAGUAUAUACCAUUAUUUGACAGCAACACAUUGGGGGAGGGAGGAAUGAAAAUAGCGGGGAGGAAUAAUAGGAUGGAAAAUUUUAUCACCAUAAGAUGCUCCUAAUCUCAAUUUCAUGACCUUACAUUGGUUCUGAAUAAUUUACUUUAAGAUGCAAGGGAAUGUUCAAUCCUGAAUGCAAUAGCCAUGCAACAGUCUGGAAAUCAUCAUCAGUUUUGUGUUUCAUCUGUUUGGAUAAUUGCAUUUGUAAGGAAUUAAGGAUGCGAAGAGUAAGGACAAGCAAAUUCAGCAAUAGAAAUUGUGAGUCCUAAAGCUUAAUAUACUCUAAAACUACAUAAAUUUAAUGAACAUUUACCACACCACAGCCACAUAGUCGCAUGCUACAGCUACAUGCUCAAAAUACCAACAGAUAACAGCCAGCCAUGGUACAAAAUGGUUAGGCUGCCAUGGUACCUAACCAAGAAUUCUGCCACAACAGACUUAGCCAUGUAAUCACUAUAUAGAUGUCAUCAAGUACUAACCUCAUUAUAUGCUGUUCUAUCCAUUAAUUUAAACUUCCUAAGCAUCUAUGGUAUUUUGCAGUCAGUGUACUACAUCAAUGGGGAAACUAUAAAUUGAGAAAAGGCUGAUCUAAAAGUGCAAACAUUAUCCUAAGCAAGCGUUGUCCAUCAGUGUUGGCAAGUAUUUUUAUUCCAUUGUCACUUGUUGUAACAGAGACUAAUGAGCCUUCUCUAUUGCAUCUCAAAUGAGGGCUUGCCACCAAAUUAUGAGUGAAAGAGUGUUAAGAAGAUCUUCACUAUACAGGUAAUAGAUAAAAAAAAAGAUACCAACAGGCAGUCACCAUCACAAUCUAUCAUAUCACAGAAUUUAACAAGAACUCGAUCGAACCAACUAUAAAAUGGAAAUAUCAGAAUGAAUAAUCGAGGGAAUUAGGGAAAUAACACUUGUUGUUUCCACCUAAUCUAAGUUUCUCCUUGGCUUGACAUUACGAGGAACACUCUCAAGGGAAUGGAAAUGUUAAGCUACUACUCAUAAUUAAAACAUUACGAGGAACACUCAAGGGAAUGGAAAUGUUAAGCUACUACUCAUAAUUAAACAAUUAAUUGAAAAAUCUCUGCUAACCUCAACCAGUACAUACACUGCUCCAUUUCAUUUCAGUUAGAUGUAGAAACAUUUCAGGCAUUAGACUAUGCCCUAUCUCAUUACAAAAUUUGCCAAUCCUUAAGGGACCCAAAUUCAGGAUGUAAGACAGAUUGAUUCACUCAACUGAUAAACUCUUAGAAAUCCUUUAGGGAUAAUCUUCUGUUCUUUUUACUUUGUUUUUCUACUAUUAACGAAGGGAAUAAUAAGUAGUGAAAAGGGAAGUGUAAAAAAGAUUAGCUUGACAUUAAUCAAUCAGUUGCUAUGAGUGCUAAUAAAAUUAAGAGGCCAACAUUAUCUUGUUCCUGCUGCACGACGGGUGGCUUCAUGUGUCCCUCAAAGAUCCUGCGCUAGCAGUGGUGGGUCACGGCAUUUGCUAAGGUUAGCCUUGCAGCCGCUGCUGCUGUAGACACCGCCACACGAGGUGCUGGAGGCCGCCGCCGCGGUGCCUCAGCACCUCAUCCGCCACGACCAAGCUAGGUAGCUGCCGCCGUCGAGCCAGCACGUGCGCAACGCGUGCAGCGCCCCAUGAGCGCCCCAGCCCACACGCAUCGUCCAGCACCGCUCUACUGUCGCGCCCCGCACGCAAUCCCCACGGCUAGGGUUAGGGUUACGUGUGACUCCAUGACGCGAAGCGAGCAGUGAGGAGCUCCCGAGGACUACGGCAAGGAAAUAGAGCUUUGAGCAGGGGAGAGAGGACGAGAGAGGAGGCGGCGUCGCCGGGAGGCUUGGGCGGUGCGACGACGCUAGGAGCGAGCAGCGGCGGAGGAAAGA